Molecule: ribosomal RNA, 335 nt
Filed under: uncultured Planctomycetales bacterium
Lineage: Bacteria; Pseudomonadati; Planctomycetota; Planctomycetia; Planctomycetales
Description: bacterial SSU rRNA
Rfam family: Bacterial small subunit ribosomal RNA
Source: RNAcentral
CUAAGGCUCCAGAGGAAGCCACGGCUAACUCUGUGCCAGCAGCCGCGGCAAUACAGAGGCGGCAAGCGUUGUUCGGAAUUAUUGGGCGUAAAGAGCACGUAGGCGGCCUUGCAAGUCAGUUGUGAAAGCCUUCCGCUUAACGGAAGAAUGCCAGCUGAUACUACAGGGCUUGAGUACGGGAGGGGAGAGUGGAACUUCUGGUGGAGCGGUGAAAUGCGUAGAUAUCAGAAGGAACGCCGGCGGCGAAAGCGACUCUCUGGCCCGAAACUGACGCUGAGUGUGCGAAAGCUAGGGGAGCAAACGGGAUUAGAUACCCCGGUAGUCCUAGCCGUAAA